AGCAUAUCAAUAAGCGGAGGAAAAGAAACCAACAGGGAUUGCCUCAGUAACGGCGAGUGAAGCGGCAAUAGCUCAAAUUUGAAAUCUGGCGUCUUCGGCGUCCGAGUUGUAAUUUGUAGAGGAUGCUAUUGAGUUGUCACCGGUCUAAGUUCCUUGGAACAGGACGUCACAGAGGGUGAGAAUCCCGUAUGUGACCGGCCAGACGCUCUCUGUAUAGCUCCUUCGACGAGUCGGGUUGUUUGGGAAUGCAGCCCUAAAUGGGAGGUAAAUUUCUUCUAAAGCUAAAUACCGGCCAGAGACCGAUAGCGCACAAGUAGAGUGAUCGAAAGAUGAAAAGCACUUUGGAAAGAGAGUUAAAAAGCACGUGAAAUUGUUGAAAGGGAAGCGCUUGCAAUCAGUCUCGACGGCGGCUGUUCGGCCUCUCUUCUGAGUGGUUUAUUCAGUCGCCGCCGGGCCAGCAUCAGUUCUGGCGGUCGGAUAAAGGCAUAGGGAAUGUAGCUCCUCUCGGGGAGUGUUAUAGCCCUGUGUGCAAUACGGCCUGCCGGGACUGAGGUCCGCGCUUCGGCUAGGAUGCUGGCGAAAUGGUUGUAAGCGGCCCGUCUUGAAACACGGACCAAGGAGUCUAACAUCUAUGCGAGUGUUUGGGUGUCAAACCCGUACGCGUAAUGAAAGUGAACGGAGGUGGGAACCGCAAGGUGCACCAUCGACCGAUCCUGAUGUCUUCGGAUGGAUUUGAGUAAGAGCAUAGCUGUUGGGACCCGAAAGAUGGUGAACUAUGCCUGAAUAGGGUGAAGCCAGAGGAAACUCUGGUGGAGGCUCGCAGCGGUUCUGACGUGCAAAUCGAUCGUCAAAUUUGGGUAUAGGGGCGAAAGACUAAUCGAACCAUCUAGUAGCUGGUUCCUGCGA
RNAcentral lists this ribosomal RNA (906 nucleotides) under Elsinoe anacardii. RNAcentral describes it as "LSU rRNA". It matches the Rfam family "Eukaryotic large subunit ribosomal RNA", at positions 37 to 963 of the family's 3401-position model. The record is from RNAcentral. Lineage: Eukaryota; Fungi; Ascomycota; Dothideomycetes; Myriangiales; Elsinoaceae.